Long non-coding RNA from Chiroxiphia lanceolata (lance-tailed manakin), 929 nucleotides. RefSeq lists it as uncharacterized. The transcript is spliced from 3 exons. NCBI's taxonomy places the organism in Eukaryota, Metazoa, Chordata, Aves, Passeriformes, Pipridae. The record is from RefSeq and is a predicted model, not a curated record.
GCAAUGGGGUCAGGAAUCUAAGGAAGUAUUCCAUAUCAUUCCUUUCCGUAACACAAUAUAUAAAAAGGCGCAGAUAAGAGAGUCCGCUCUCUUCUCUCUUCCGGUGGCUGAAGACGACAGACAACAACCUGGCACUAUGCUUUUCCUAGAAGCUUAUAAGUGCUAAGCCAUGGCUGGACCAGCUGGAUCACGAAGCCAUGCACUUUGCAAGCUCAUCAGGAAAACAACUGAUCUGUUCCACCAGGGAACAUGCCCACGUGGACAUGGCUUAAAGACAACUGUUGUCCUGGGCCAGAAAAUCACCUCAGAGCCUGUGAGGAGGGAGCGAGCUUUUCCACACUACCAGGAAUACGCUGCAAAGGCUGCCUCUGGUGGACAUUAAACAAGAGCCCAUUUCUGGGGGGGGGGUUGCUGCUGCUUCAAGACAUUCUCAGUAAACCUCUCCAGAAGAUAUGGAGGAAGUAGUAUAGAUUUGCUCAUGACACAGUCAGGGAAGUUUAUGACCAGUAGUGUUACCUGAGUAACCCUAAAAAAAGCAGAUCCUCAGAGACCAUUUCAGAAGUUCAACAUUUGUGGACAGAGUGAGGGAGAAAAAGAUGACUGUCAGAAGCUAAUUGCUCCAGAUGUACUAUACAUAUAGGUCAUGUUACAGGCCAGGACUGGGAAGAUGCAUAGUCUAGCUCUGAAUGAAUUCCCAUUUGUACUUAGUUUAAUUAUGCAGUAUUAGUUUAUUAUCAAUAAAUAAUGACAUGCUAGUAUAAAAGCCUUUUUUCCCCCCUAAUUUGAAGACAAUCUCAGCAAUAUUAGCACUAAUGAUUACAUCUUUGAAGCUCAAUGCAACCUGGAGAGGUGCUAGAGGCUGCCUUUCUUUCUGAAGGAUGCAUUGCAGGUUCCCAUGCCAUGCUCAUCCAUACUCUCCAAAAGCACGG